RNAcentral lists this unclassified non-coding RNA (21 nucleotides) under Dictyostelium discoideum. Lineage: Eukaryota; Evosea; Eumycetozoa; Dictyosteliales; Dictyosteliaceae. The record is from RNAcentral.
GACGCGCAUGAAUGGAUCAAU